CAGUAGCCGCGGUAAUACGUAGGGUGCAAGCGUUAAUCGGAAUUACUGGGCGUAAAGCGUGCGCAGGCGGUUAUAUAAGACAGAUGUGAAAUCCCCGGGCUCAACCUGGGAACUGCAUUUGUGACUGUAUAGCUAGAGUACGGCAGAGGGGGAUGGAAUUCCGCGUGUAGCAGUGAAAUGCGUAGAUAUGCGGAGGAACACCGAUGGCGAAGGCAAUCCCCUGGGCCUGUACUGACGCUUAUGCACGAAAGCGUGGGGAGCAAACAGGAUUAGAUACCCGCGUAGUCCCUGUCUCUUAUAC
Molecule: ribosomal RNA, 301 nt
Filed under: uncultured bacterium
Lineage: Bacteria
Description: partial 16S ribosomal RNA
Rfam family: Bacterial small subunit ribosomal RNA
Source: RNAcentral